Molecule: ribosomal RNA, 527 nt
Filed under: uncultured bacterium
Lineage: Bacteria
Description: bacterial SSU rRNA
Rfam family: Bacterial small subunit ribosomal RNA
Source: RNAcentral
AAUAGAUACCCCGGUAGUCCACGCCGUAAACGUUGGAUACUAGGUGUGGCGUCCCGAUCAACGGAUGCCGUGCCGAAGCUAACGCAUUAAGUAUCCCGCCUGGGGAGUACGGCCGCAAGGCUAAAACUCAAAGGAAUUGACGGGUCCCCGCACAAGCGGCGGAGCAUGCGGCUUAAUUCGAUGCAACCCGAAGAACCUUACCUGGGUUUGAAAUCAUGGGAAAAGCUGUAGAAAUACAGUGUCCGUAAGGGCCCAUGACAGGUGGUGCAUGGCUGUCGUCAGCUCGUGUCGUGAGAUGUUGGGUUAAGUCCCGCAACGAGCGCAACCCUUGUCCUAUGUUGCCAGCGGUUCGGCCGGGGACUCAUAGGAGACUGCCGGGGAUAACUCGGAGGAAGGUGAGGACGACGUCAAGUCAUCAUGCCCCUUAUAUCCAGGGCUGCACGCAUGCUACAAUGGUCGGUACAACGGGCAGCGACCCCGCGAGGGUGAGCGAAUCCCACAAAGCCGGCCUCAGUUCGGAUUGGAGU